RNAcentral lists this non-coding RNA (161 nucleotides) under Aerococcus christensenii. RNAcentral's name for it is "Lysine sequence". It matches the Rfam family "Lysine riboswitch aptamer". Rfam says of the family: Riboswitches are metabolite binding domains within certain messenger RNAs that serve as precision sensors for their corresponding targets. Allosteric rearrangement of mRNA structure is mediated by ligand binding, and this results in modulation of gene expression. This family includes riboswitches that sense lysine in a number of genes involved in lysine metabolism, including lysC. Lineage: Bacteria; Bacillati; Bacillota; Bacilli; Lactobacillales; Aerococcaceae. The record is from Rfam by way of RNAcentral.
UAUCGAGAUAGAGGCGCGAAAACCAUCAGUACUUAUCUGAGCGGGAGCUAGGAAGAUAAGGAAAGGGGAAUUCGCCGAAAUGCUUUCGUCGCCGGAUGAAAGGGUUGGGCGUAUGAAGAAUAUUCAUACGACUGUCACAUUUGUGGAGCACUAUCCAGUUU